UCCCUCAUAGCUCAGUUGGUAAAGAAUCUGCCUGCAAUGCAGGAGAUCCUGGUUCAAUCCUGGGUCAGGAAG
Molecule: transfer RNA, 72 nt
Filed under: Capra hircus (goat)
Lineage: Eukaryota; Metazoa; Chordata; Mammalia; Artiodactyla; Bovidae
Also listed under: 1 other name
Rfam family: tRNA
About the family: Transfer RNA (tRNA) molecules are approximately 80 nucleotides in length. Their secondary structure includes four short double-helical elements and three loops (D, anti-codon, and T loops).
Source: Rfam by way of RNAcentral